RNAcentral lists this transfer RNA (77 nucleotides) under Acidithiobacillus thiooxidans. Its description in RNAcentral is "tRNA-Arg". It matches the Rfam family "tRNA". From Rfam's summary of the family: Transfer RNA (tRNA) molecules are approximately 80 nucleotides in length. Their secondary structure includes four short double-helical elements and three loops (D, anti-codon, and T loops). Further hydrogen bonds mediate the characteristic L-shaped molecular structure. tRNAs have two regions of fundamental functional importance: the anti-codon, which is responsible for specific mRNA codon recognition, and the 3' end, to which the tRNAs corresponding amino acid is attached (by aminoacyl-tRNA synthetases). tRNAs cope with the degeneracy of the genetic code in two manners: having more than one tRNA (with a specific anti-codon) for a particular amino acid; and 'wobble' base-pairing, i.e. permitting non-standard base-pairing at the 3rd anti-codon position. The record is from RNAcentral. RNAcentral also lists the same sequence under 16 other names. Lineage: Bacteria; Pseudomonadati; Pseudomonadota; Acidithiobacillia; Acidithiobacillales; Acidithiobacillaceae.
GCGCUCGUAGCUCAGCUGGAUAGAGCAACUGGCUACGAACCAGUAGGUCGGGAGUUCGACUCUCUCCGAGCGCACCA